RNAcentral lists this ribosomal RNA (377 nucleotides) under uncultured bacterium. RNAcentral describes it as "bacterial SSU rRNA". It matches the Rfam family "Bacterial small subunit ribosomal RNA", at positions 355 to 723 of the family's 1533-position model. The record is from RNAcentral.
UAGGGAAUUUUCGGGCAAUGGGAGGAAACUCUGACCGAGCAAUGCCGCGUGAACGAAGAAGAUCUUCGGAUUGUAAAGUUCUGUUGUUGGGGAAGAAUGGUACUACUAGGAAAUGAGUAGUAUUUGACGGUACCCGAUUAGAAAGCCCCGGCUAACUAUGUGCCAGCAGCCGCGGUAAUACAUAGGGGGCAAGCGUUAUCCGGAAUUAUUGGGCGUAAAGCGUGCGUAGGCGGUUUAUUAAGUCUGUCGUAAAAUCUCGAGGCUUAACUUCGAUAUGCGAUGGAAACUGGUAAACUAGAGUACGGUAGGGGUAAGUGGAAUUCCAAGUGGAGCGGUGGAAUGCGUAGAGAUUUGGAGGAACACCAGUGGCGAAGGCG